UAUAAAUAGGUGUGUUUAGUUCCAUUUGUAAUCAUCCAGAAUCAAGAAAAAUAAUAGAGAGAAAACAUUUCAGCAAGAGUUCUAAAAGUCUCCAAGAAAUCUCCAAACACAAGCUUUAGUAGAAAAAUCCAUUUCCUAAAAUACGAAGGUUAUCUCAAACAAAAACCGUCUACAUUCCAUCUUAACCUCUCGAAGAAAAUAUUAUCCGCUAAUUUUUCCCAACAACUGGUAUCAGAGC
This 238-nucleotide long non-coding RNA is filed under the name Brassica rapa (field mustard). RNAcentral describes it as "long non-coding RNA (BRAP_LNC005883)". The record is from RNAcentral. Lineage: Eukaryota; Viridiplantae; Streptophyta; Magnoliopsida; Brassicales; Brassicaceae.